AUGAUGAAGCACUGGAUAGUUUUGGGAAGAACUGAAUUGAGGACUGGACUGAUGAGGAAAAAAGAAUUGAUUGAACUUUUGAGCGAGAAAACUGCCGCCGCUCUAUGGUUAAAGCUGGAAGGGAUUUGCAUGACUAAAGAUGUCACCAGCAAGAUGCAUCUGAAGCAAAAAUUAUUCCUACACAGGUUACCCGAGGGAGUUUAUGAAGCUUUGAACUCUAAGGAGAAGAUGAACUUAAUGGUGCCUCAUGAUGGUUCAAGUUCAUCCCAAGCCGAGGGAUUAUCUGUUCGUAGCAGGACAAAGAAGAAGAACUCACAUAAUGGAAACAAAGGCAAAAGUAAGGACGGCUACAGGGGCCGGUCGCAAUCCAGAGACAGGAAGUAUUGCAGGUAUUGCAAGAGAGACGGGCAUGACAUCUUAGAGUGUUUCAAGUUGCAGAAUAAAGAAAAGAGGAAAGGUAACAAACAAGGUGAAAUUUCUGCUAACGUUGUUCGUGAUGAUAGUUCCGAUGAUGCUCUUAUCAUUAUUGCUGGAUGUGCUGAGACCAAUGAUGAGUGGGUACUUGACAGUGCAUGCACUUUGCAUAUGUGUCCACAUAGAGAUUGGUUUAAUACAUUUGAUUUCACUACUACUGCUGGUUCCGUUUUGGGUGUUGAUAAUUCACCAUGCAAGAUUGAAGGCAUAGGUUCUAUUCGAAUCAAGAUGUUUGAUGGCAUAAUCAGAACUUCGACAGAUGUUCAGUAUAUUCCGAAGAUGAAGAGAAAUCUUAUUUCUAUGAGUGCCCUUGAUGCAAAGGGGUACAAGUAUUUAGGUGGAGAUAGUGUUUCGAAAGGCACCAAAGGUUCCCUUAUUGUGAUGAAAGGUGAUUUGAGUUCGACCAAUGGUCUUUAUUACCUUCGAGGUUCUACCGUUUCAAGUAACGCUACUCCAGUUAUUUCAAAGAAUUCUGAUUGUGAUGCUGCUAACCUUUGGCAUAUGCAUCUUGGACAUAUGAGUGAACUUGGUUUGGCAGAGUUAAAUAAGAGAGGUCUUCUUGAUGGAUAUGAACCUAGUAAAUUGGAAUUUUGUGAGCAUUGUAUCUUCGGCAAACACAAUAGGGUGAAGUUCAACACUUCGACUCAUACAACUGAAGCAUUUAAGGACUGGAAGAUUAUGAUUGAGAGACAAACUGAAAAGAAGAAUUAUUGCAAGUCUGAAGGCAUUGUCAGACACUACACCAUUCCUUGUGCUCCUCAACAAAACGAUGUUGCUGAGCGUAUGAACAGGACCAUUAUUUCCAGAGCCCGUUGCAUGUUGUCCAAUGCAGAAGAAAUUGAAGGUAAUGCUAAGCCUUCUUCAUUUUCCAAGGCUAUUAUUUCUGGUGAUAGUAAUAAGUGGAUGACUGCUAUGCAUGAUGAGAUGGAAUCACUUGAAAAGAAUGGCACUUGGGAUUUCUUAAGAUUACCUAGAGAGAAGAAACCUAUUCAUUGCAAGUGGGUUUUCAAGAGGAAAGAAGUUGUUUCUCCUAAUGAUGAGACAAGAUAUAAAGCAAGGUUGGUUGCGAAAGGUUAUAGUCAGAUUCCAGUCCUAUGGAUUUUGACGCACAAGGUGUUUAUGCUGAUUUGGAUGGAGUUAUAUACUUUCUUCGACUACUGGAGGGAAUUUGGCUCAAGUAUAUACGGUGUGGGCCUUUGCGUUGGUACCGACGCGUACGAGUACAACUCGUUUACUUGUCCUCCAAGGACUCUUGUAUUGCCCUCUUAUAUACCCCAUAACAAGUCGUGCUACGGAACAAACAAGCGCUCAAAAGAUAUCUCUUCUCUAGAGGUUUCACCCGGCCGCUCACAUUCGGCCAAGUGGCCUCUUGCUCAUCUCAAGAUAAGCCUUCUAGUCUCCUACUGCCCUUCCUCCUCCUCCAGCCAAAACGCGGCAAUCCCUGAAGCUACAAGAUUACCCUUCUUUCACCACUUCCCAUCUCAAACUGCAGCAAGCAAUCAAGAAACUCAGAGAAGGAAGAAGACAUAG
This 2004-nucleotide ribosomal RNA is filed under the name Triticum aestivum (bread wheat). RNAcentral's name for it is "partial small subunit ribosomal RNA". Lineage: Eukaryota; Viridiplantae; Streptophyta; Magnoliopsida; Poales; Poaceae. The record is from RNAcentral.